GAGCAAUUCUUUCUAGUCCAGAUCCUGCAGUUAUCCAUGGGGCAGUAGGUCAGAGACCCUUCUCUGGACCUUAAUUUCCUAUCUGCACACCAGAGGACUACUGAAGAACCCUGGAGUCGCCAGUGGGGCUGGACCCUUACCAUGGCAUUCUGGCACCAGAACAGGACCACUCCCAGCUAGUCACUCAUAGGAACAUUGAACAGAAUGAGUUCAAGAACAGAAACUUCAGAAGAUUUGUCUGAACUGAUGCAGAAUGAAGUGAGUAGAACCAAGAGGUAAUUUAUACAAUAACUACAGUGUUAUGAAGGCAAACAGCUUUGAAAAACUUGGGACCUCUGAUCAAUGCAGUGGCUAACAAGGAUUGCAGAAAACCCAUGAUAAUAGGUUACUCACUUUCUACAAAAACCUACAGACUUCCUAUGAAAUCAGCUGCCUCACUUCAGAAAUGGGAUGGAUUCAGGGUGUAUGUUGCAACAGAUAUUUUUUGAGAUUGGGAAUUAGUUUUCCUUGAUUGUCUAUGUGACAUCAU
Molecule: non-coding RNA, 529 nt
Organism: Monodelphis domestica (gray short-tailed opossum)
Lineage: Eukaryota; Metazoa; Chordata; Mammalia; Didelphimorphia; Didelphidae
Source: RefSeq, a predicted model, not a curated record